This 796-nucleotide small RNA is filed under the name Pan troglodytes (chimpanzee). RNAcentral describes it as "retained intron". Lineage: Eukaryota; Metazoa; Chordata; Mammalia; Primates; Hominidae. The record is from RNAcentral.
AAAAAAGUUCUGUACAUUUUGUGUGUUAGGUGUUACGUGAUCCACCUUGAGGUAACUUUUGAGUACAUAUGAAGUUAGGGUCAUUCCUAUUUUCAUAGACUGCGUUAUUUCCUUUUCUUAGGUUGUCUUUGAAGCUUGGUGAUGCUGGAAACCCCAGAAGUCUUGCUAUAAGAUUCAUCCUUACCAAUUACAACAAGUUGUCCAUCCAGAGUUGGUUUAGUUUGCGCCGAGUCGAGAUCAUUUCCAACAAUUCAAUCCAAGCAGUCUUUAACCCAACUGGCGUAUAUGCUCCCUCUGGUUACUCCUACCGCUGCCAACGCGUGGGCAGCCUGCAGCAGGACCAGGCCCUCUUGCUGCCCAGCGACACGGAUGAUGGGUCGAGCCUGUGGGAGGUCACUUUUAUUGAUUUCCAGAUCCAAGGUUUUGCCAUCAAGGGGGGACGAUUUACCAAGGCCCAAGACUGCACCUCCUCCUUCUCGCCAGCUUUUCUGAUCGGCCUGGCAAUGUCCCUGAUCCUGCUGCUGGUGUUGGCCUACGCCCUGCACAUGCUCAUCUACCUGCGGUAUCUGGACCAACAAUAUGAUCUCAUUGCCUCUCCUGCCCACUUCUCGCAGCUGAAAGCUCGAGACACAGCCGAAGAGAAGGAGCUGCUGAGGAGCCAGGGGGCUGAAUGCUAUGAACUGAGAAGCCAACAGAUCAGCAAAAUCUAUGUUUAGCAGCACAGGCUGGCCCCCACCAUGUCCACAGUGGGCUCCGAAAGUUGUUUCUGUUCUGUGCUAUUUGACUUGUGAAUUAC